GACGAACGCUGGCGGCGUGCUUAACACAUGCAAGUCGAACGGAAAGGCCCUGCUUUUGUGGGGUGCUCGAGUGGCGAACGGGUGAGUAACACGUGAGUAACCUGCCCUUGACUUUGGGAUAACUUCAGGAAACUGGGGCUAAUACCGGAUAGGAGCUCCUGCUGCAUGGUGGGGGUUGGAAAGUUUCGGCGGUUGGGGAUGGACUCGCGGCUUAUCAGCUUGUUGGUGGGGUAGUGGCUUACCAAGGCUUUGACGGGUAGCCGGCCUGAGAGGGUGACCGGCCACAUUGGGACUGAGAGACGGCCCAGACUCCGACGGGAGGCAGCAGUGGGGAAUAUUGCACAAUGGGCGGAAGCCUGAUGCAGCAACGCCGCGUGCGGGAUGACGGCCUUCGGGUUGUAAACCGCUGGCGCCUGUGACGAAGCGGGAGUGACGGUAAUGGGUAAAGAAGCACCGGCUAACUACGUG
This 468-nucleotide ribosomal RNA is filed under the name uncultured bacterium. RNAcentral's name for it is "partial 16S ribosomal RNA". It matches the Rfam family "Bacterial small subunit ribosomal RNA", at positions 28 to 507 of the family's 1533-position model. The record is from RNAcentral.